Molecule: ribosomal RNA, 447 nt
Filed under: uncultured bacterium
Lineage: Bacteria
Description: bacterial SSU rRNA
Rfam family: Bacterial small subunit ribosomal RNA
Source: RNAcentral
UGGGGAAUAUUGGACAAUGGGGGAAACCCUGAUCCAGCGACGCCGCGUGUGUGAAGAAGGCCUGCGGGUUGUAAAGUCCUUUCGACGGAGACGAUAAUGACGGUAUCCGUAGAAGAAGCCCCGGCUAAUUUCGUGCCAGCAGCCGCGGUAAUACGAAAGGGGCUAGCGUUGUUCGGAAUUACUGGGCGUAAAGCGCACGUAGGCGGUCGUGUAAGAUGGGGGUGAAAUCCCGGAGCUCAACUCCGGAACUGCCUUCAUGACUGCAUGGCUAGAGGAUGCGAGAGGUUGGCGGAAUUCCGAGUGUAGAGGUGAAAUUCGUAGAUAUUCGGAAGAACACCAGUGGCGAAGGCGGCCAACUGGCGCAUUUCUGAUGCUGAGGUGCGAAAGCGUGGGGAGCAAACAGGAUUAGAUACCCCAGUAGUCCCUGAGCGGGCUGGCAAGGCGCAU